This 372-nucleotide ribosomal RNA is filed under the name uncultured organism. RNAcentral describes it as "bacterial SSU rRNA". It matches the Rfam family "Bacterial small subunit ribosomal RNA", at positions 527 to 896 of the family's 1533-position model. The record is from RNAcentral.
CGGAGGGGCUAGCGUUGUUCGGAAUUACUGGGCGUAAAGCGCACGUAGGCGGCUUUGUAAGUUAGAGGUGAAAGCCCGGGGCUCAACUCCGGAAUUGCCUUUAAGACAGCAUCGCUAGAAUCGUGGAGAGGUGAGUGGAAUUCCGAGUGUAGAGGGUGAAAUUCGUAGAUAUUCGGAAGAACACCAGUGGCGAAGGCGACUCACUGGACACGUAUUGACGCUGAGGUGCGAAAGCGUGGGGAGCAACCAGGAUUAGAUACCCUGGUAGUCCACGCUGUAAACGAUGAUGACUAGCUGUCUGGGCGCUUAGCGUUCAGGUGGCGCAGCUAACGCGUUAAGUCAUCCGCCUGGGGAGGUACGGCCGCAAGGUUA